This 254-nucleotide ribosomal RNA is filed under the name uncultured bacterium. Its description in RNAcentral is "partial 16S ribosomal RNA". It matches the Rfam family "Bacterial small subunit ribosomal RNA", at positions 524 to 776 of the family's 1533-position model. The record is from RNAcentral.
UACGUAGGCAGCGAGCGUUGUUCGGAGUUACUGGGCGUAAAGGGUGUGUGGGCGGUUGUUUAAGUUUGGUGUGAAAUCUCCCGGCUCAACUGGGAGGGUGCGCCGAAUACUGAAUGACUUGGAGUGCGGGAGAGGAGAGUGGAAUUCCUGGUGUAGCGGUGAAAUGCGUAGAUAUCAGGAGGAACACCGGUGGUGUAGACGGCUCUCUGGACCGUAACUGACGCUGAGACACGAAAGCGUGGGUAGCAAACAGG